CGCACAGACCGCCUUAUCGCUGUUCGCCUUGGCGGAGAGAGGAAAGUCCGGACACCACAGAGAAGCAUAGCGGGUAACACCCGUCAUCCCGAUUUUUUUGGGAUAGGACAAGUGCAACAGAAAGUAUGUACAGGUAAUGCUGUAGUGAAACCAGGUAAACUCUAUGCGGUGAAAUACCAAGUAUAUCAGCAUUUAAGGAUUUCUCGUCCGUUGUUGAAGGGUAGGUAGCUCGAUCUUGUUGGUAACAACAAGGCUAGAUAAAUGAUAAGGUAAGGCUAGAUAAAUGAUAAGGUCUCGUCUUUUGGGACGAGAACAGAAUCCGGCUUAUAGGUCUGUUUUUUUU
RNAcentral lists this RNase P RNA (343 nucleotides) under Flavobacteriales bacterium 32-34-25. RNAcentral describes it as "RNase P RNA component class A". It matches the Rfam family "Bacterial RNase P class A". From Rfam's summary of the family: Ribonuclease P (RNase P) is a ubiquitous endoribonuclease, found in archaea, bacteria and eukarya as well as chloroplasts and mitochondria. Its best characterised activity is the generation of mature 5'-ends of tRNAs by cleaving the 5'-leader elements of precursor-tRNAs. Cellular RNase Ps are ribonucleoproteins. The record is from RNAcentral. Lineage: Bacteria; Pseudomonadati; Bacteroidota; Flavobacteriia; Flavobacteriales.